RNAcentral lists this ribosomal RNA (2923 nucleotides) under Klebsiella pneumoniae subsp. pneumoniae KPNIH27. RNAcentral's name for it is "bacterial LSU rRNA". It matches the Rfam family "Bacterial large subunit ribosomal RNA". Lineage: Bacteria; Pseudomonadati; Pseudomonadota; Gammaproteobacteria; Enterobacterales; Enterobacteriaceae. The record is from RNAcentral.
GGGUUGUGAGGUUAAGCGACUAAGCGUACACGGUGGAUGCCCUGGCAGUCAGAGGCGAUGAAGGACGUGCUAAUCUGCGAAAAGCGUCGGUAAGGUGAUAUGAACCGUUAUAACCGGCGAUGUCCGAAUGGGGAAACCCAGUGCAAUUCGUUGCACUAUCGUUAACUGAAUACAUAGGUUAACGAGGCGAACCGGGGGAACUGAAACAUCUAAGUACCCCGAGGAAAAGAAAUCAACCGAGAUUCCCCCAGUAGCGGCGAGCGAACGGGGAGCAGCCCAGAGUCUGAAUCAGCUUGUGUGUUAGUGGAACGGUCUGGAAAGUCCGACGGUACAGGGUGAUAGUCCCGUACACCAAAAUGCACAGGCUGUGAACUCGAAGAGUAGGGCGGGACACGUGGUAUCCUGUCUGAAUAUGGGGGGACCAUCCUCCAAGGCUAAAUACUCCUGACUGACCGAUAGUGAACCAGUACCGUGAGGGAAAGGCGAAAAGAACCCCGGCGAGGGGAGUGAAAAAGAACCUGAAACCGUGUACGUACAAGCAGUGGGAGCACCUUCGGGUGUGACUGCGUACCUUUUGUAUAAUGGGUCAGCGACUUAUAUUCUGUAGCAAGGUUAACCGUAUAGGGGAGCCGCAGGGAAACCGAGUCUUAACUGGGCGUUAAGUUGCAGGGUAUAGACCCGAAACCCGGUGAUCUAGCCAUGGGCAGGUUGAAGGUUGGGUAACACUAACUGGAGGACCGAACCGACUAAUGUUGAAAAAUUAGCGGAUGACUUGUGGCUGGGGGUGAAAGGCCAAUCAAACCGGGAGAUAGCUGGUUCUCCCCGAAAGCUAUUUAGGUAGCGCCUCGUGAAUUCAUCUUCGGGGGUAGAGCACUGUUUCGGCUAGGGGGUCAUCCCGACUUACCAACCCGAUGCAAACUACGAAUACCGAAGAAUGUUAUCACGGGAGACACACGGCGGGUGCUAACGUCCGUCGUGAAGAGGGAAACAACCCAGACCGCCAGCUAAGGUCCCAAAGUCAUGGUUAAGUGGGAAACGAUGUGGGAAGGCACAGACAGCCAGGAUGUUGGCUUAGAAGCAGCCAUCAUUUAAAGAAAGCGUAAUAGCUCACUGGUCGAGUCGGCCUGCGCGGAAGAUGUAACGGGGCUAAACCAUGCACCGAAGCUGCGGCAGCGACACUAUGUGUUGUUGGGUAGGGGAGCGUUCUGUAAGCCUGCGAAGGUGUGCUGUGAGGCAUGCUGGAGGUAUCAGAAGUGCGAAUGCUGACAUAAGUAACGAUAAAGCGGGUGAAAAGCCCGCUCGCCGGAAGACCAAGGGUUCCUGUCCAACGUUAAUCGGGGCAGGGUGAGUCGACCCCUAAGGCGAGGCCGAAAGGCGUAGUCGAUGGGAAACAGGUUAAUAUUCCUGUACUUGGUGUUACUGCGAAGGGGGGACGGAGAAGGCUAUGUUAGCCGGGCGACGGUUGUCCCGGUUUAAGCAUGUAGGCUGGUUGUCCAGGCAAAUCCGGAUAAUCAAGGCUGAGGUGUGAUGACGAGGCACUACGGUGCUGAAGUAACAAAUGCCCUGCUUCCAGGAAAAGCCUCUAAGCAUCAGGUAACAUUAAAUCGUACCCCAAACCGACACAGGUGGUCAGGUAGAGAAUACCAAGGCGCUUGAGAGAACUCGGGUGAAGGAACUAGGCAAAAUGGUGCCGUAACUUCGGGAGAAGGCACGCUGGUGUGUAGGUGAAGCCCCUGCGGGUGGAGCUGAGACCAGUCGAAGAUACCAGCUGGCUGCAACUGUUUAUUAAAAACACAGCACUGUGCAAACACGAAAGUGGACGUAUACGGUGUGACGCCUGCCCGGUGCCGGAAGGUUAAUUGAUGGGGUUAUCCGUAAGGAGAAGCUCUUGAUCGAAGCCCCGGUAAACGGCGGCCGUAACUAUAACGGUCCUAAGGUAGCGAAAUUCCUUGUCGGGUAAGUUCCGACCUGCACGAAUGGCGUAAUGAUGGCCAGGCUGUCUCCACCCGAGACUCAGUGAAAUUGAACUCGCUGUGAAGAUGCAGUGUACCCGCGGCAAGACGGAAAGACCCCGUGAACCUUUACUAUAGCUUGACACUGAACAUUGAGCCUUGAUGUGUAGGAUAGGUGGGAGGCUUUGAAGCGUGGACGCCAGUCUGCGUGGAGCCAACCUUGAAAUACCACCCUUUAAUGUUUGAUGUUCUAACGUUGGCCCCUGACCGGGGUUGCGGACAGUGUCUGGUGGGUAGUUUGACUGGGGCGGUCUCCUCCCAAAGCGUAACGGAGGAGCACGAAGGUUAGCUAAUCCUGGUCGGACAUCAGGAGGUUAGUGCAAUGGCAUAAGCUAGCUUGACUGCGAGCGUGACGGCGCGAGCAGGUGCGAAAGCAGGUCAUAGUGAUCCGGUGGUUCUGAAUGGAAGGGCCAUCGCUCAACGGAUAAAAGGUACUCCGGGGAUAACAGGCUGAUACCGCCCAAGAGUUCAUAUCGACGGCGGUGUUUGGCACCUCGAUGUCGGCUCAUCACAUCCUGGGGCUGAAGUAGGUCCCAAGGGUAUGGCUGUUCGCCAUUUAAAGUGGUACGCGAGCUGGGUUUAGAACGUCGUGAGACAGUUCGGUCCCUAUCUGCCGUGGGCGCUGGAGAAUUGAGGGGGGCUGCUCCUAGUACGAGAGGACCGGAGUGGACGCAUCACUGGUGUUCGGGUUGUCAUGCCAAUGGCACUGCCCGGUAGCUAAAUGCGGAAGAGAUAAGUGCUGAAAGCAUCUAAGCACGAAACUUGCCCCGAGAUGAGUUCUCCCUGAGACUUUAAGUCUCCUGAAGGAACGUUAAAGACGAUGACGUUGAUAGGCCGGGUGUGUAAGCGCAGCGAUGCGUUGAGCUAACCGGUACUAAUGAACCGUGAGGCUUAACCUUACAACGCCGAAG